CAGGUAGCCUAGUGGUUAGAGUGUAGAGGAGGCAGGUAGUCUAGUGGUUAGAGUGGAGGGGAGGCAGGUAGUCUAGUGGUUAGAGUGGAGGGGUGGCAGGUAGUCUAGUGGUUAGAGUGGAGGGGUGGCAGGUAGCCUAGUGGUUAGAGUGGAGGGGUGGCAGGUAGUCUAGUGGUUAGAGUGGAGGGGCGGCAGGUAGCCUAGUGGUUAGAGUGGAGGGGCGGCAGGGUAGCCUAGUGGUUAGAGUGGAGGGGUGGCAGGUAGCCUAGUGGUUAGAGUGUAGAGGAGGCAGGUAGCCUAGUGGUUAGAGUGUAGAGGAGGCAGGUAGCCUAGUGGUUAGAGUGGAGGGGUGGCAGGUAGCCUA
RNAcentral lists this long non-coding RNA (364 nucleotides) under Salmo salar (Atlantic salmon). Its description in RNAcentral is "lncRNA (ENSSSAG00000083906.1)". Lineage: Eukaryota; Metazoa; Chordata; Actinopteri; Salmoniformes; Salmonidae. The record is from RNAcentral.